RNAcentral lists this ribosomal RNA (1598 nucleotides) under metagenome. RNAcentral describes it as "bacterial SSU rRNA". It matches the Rfam family "Bacterial small subunit ribosomal RNA". The record is from RNAcentral.
AGAGUUUGAUCAUGGCUCAGAACGAACGCUGGCGGCGCGUUUUAAGCAUGCAAGUCGAACGGUAAUAGAGUGCUUGCACUCUAUGAGAGUGGCGGACGGGUGAGUAACACGUAGAUAAUCUGCCCUUGGAUUGGGGAUAGCAUAUGGAAACAUAUGGUAAUACCGAAUAAGCUCCUAACUACUAAAGUAGAAUGGAGGAAAGGUGCUUAGGCACCGUCCGGGGAUGAGUCUGCGGCUCAUUAGCUAGUUGGUGGGGUAAAGGCCUACCAAGGCAAUGAUGAGUAGCCGGCCUGAGAGGGUGGACGGCCACACUGGGACUGAGACACGGCCCAGACUCCUACGGGAGGCAGCAGCUAAGAAUCUUCCGCAAUGGGGGAAACCCUGACGGAGCGACGCCGCGUGAACGAAGAAGGCGGAAACGUUGUAAAGUUCUUUUCUUGAGGAGGAAUAAGCAUAGCAGGUAAUGGCUGUGUGAUGACGUUAAUCGAGGAAUAAGCCCCGGCUAAUUACGUGCCAGCAGCCGCGGUAACACGUAAGGGGCAAGCGUUGUUCGGAAUUAUUGGGCGUAAAGGGCGCGUAGGCGGCUUUACAAGUCUGGUGUGAAAUAUCUCAGCUUAACUGAGGGAAUGCGCUGGAAACUGUAAGACUAGAAUCUAGGAGGGGAAGCUGGAAUUCCUGGUGUAGGGGUGAAAUCUGUAGAUAUCAGGAAGAACACCGGUGGCGGAGGCGAGCUUCUGGCCAUAGAUUGACGCUGAGGCGCGAAAGCGUGGGGAGCGAACAGGAUUAGAUACCCUGGUAGUCCACGCUGUAAACGAUGUGCACUAGGUGUUGGCCCUGCUGGUAAAUUGAGUUGAGAGCUCACUUAUUUGAAGAAGUUAACCUGGAGGCGAAAAUCUUCAGUUAGUACAGAUAAGCUUUGAGAAGAUUUACAAGUAGGGUCAGUGCCGUAGCUAACGCGUUAAGUGCACCGCCAGGGGAGUAUGCCCGCAAGGGUGAAACUCAAAGGAAUUGACGGGGGCCCGCACAAGCGGUGGAGCAUGUGGUUUAAUUCGAUGACACGCGAGAAACCUUACCAGGGCUUGACAUAUUUUCGACGUUCACAGAGAUGUGGAUUUCUCUUCGGAGACGAUUAUACAGGUGCUGCAUGGUUGUCGUCAGCUCGUGCUGUGAAGUGUUGGGUUAAGUCCCGUAACGAGCGCAACCCCUACUGUCUGUUGCCAUCAUUAAGUUGGGGACUCAGACGGUACUGCCGGUGACAAACCGGAGGAAGGUGGGGACGACGUCAAAUCAUCAUGGCCCUUAUGUCCUGGGCUACACACGUGCUACAAUGGCUGGUACAGAGCGACGCGAGACCGCGAGGUGGAGCAAAUCGCAGAAAGCCAGUCCCAGUACAGAUUGAAGUCUGAAACUCGACUUCAUGAAGGUGGAAUCGCUAGUAAUCGCGCAUCAGCAUGGCGCGGUGAAUACGUUCCCGGGCCUUGUACACACCGCCCGUCACACCACCCGAGUUGGGGGUACCCGAAGUCACUAGUCUAACCUGCAAAGGGGGACGGUGCCGAAGGUAUGCUUAGUAAGGGGGGUGAAGUCGUAACAAGGUA